GGCGCAGCCUGAUGCAGCGACGCCGCGUGAGGGAUGACGGCCUUCGGGUUGUAAACCUCUUUCAGUAGGGAAGAAGCGAAAGUGACGGUACCUGCAGAAGAAGCACCGGCUAACUACGUGCCAGCAGCCGCGGUAAUACGUAGGGUGCGAGCGUUAUCCGGAAUUAUUGGGCGUAAAGAGCUCGUAGGCGGUUUGUCGCGUCUGUCGUGAAAGUCCGGGGCUUAACCCCGGAUCUGCGGUGGGUACGGGCAGACUAGAGUGCAGUAGGGGAGACUGGAAUUCCUGGUGUAGCGGUGGAAUGCGCAGAUAUCAGGAGGAACACCGAUGGCGAAGGCAGGUCUCUGGGCUGUAACUGACGCUGAGGAGCGAAAGCAUGGGGAGCGAACAGGAUUAGAUACCCUGGUAGUCCAUGCCGUAAACGUUGGGCACUAGGUGUGGGGACCAUUCCACGGUUUCCGCGCCGCAGCUAACGCAUUAAGUGCCCCGCCUGGGGAGUACGGCCGCAAGGCUAAAACUCAAAUG
This is a ribosomal RNA of 522 nucleotides. It matches the Rfam family "Bacterial small subunit ribosomal RNA", at positions 374 to 907 of the family's 1533-position model.